GUAGGAUGUAGUGUAGGGGUAGCACUUAGAAUUUUGGAUUCUGGGGUAUAGGUUCAAGUCCUAUUGUCCUA
This 71-nucleotide transfer RNA is filed under the name Wiedomys cerradensis (cerrado red-nosed mouse). Its description in RNAcentral is "tRNA-Gln". It matches the Rfam family "tRNA". Rfam says of the family: Transfer RNA (tRNA) molecules are approximately 80 nucleotides in length. Lineage: Eukaryota; Metazoa; Chordata; Mammalia; Rodentia; Cricetidae. The record is from RNAcentral.